RNAcentral lists this ribosomal RNA (253 nucleotides) under uncultured bacterium. RNAcentral describes it as "partial 16S ribosomal RNA". It matches the Rfam family "Bacterial small subunit ribosomal RNA", at positions 524 to 776 of the family's 1533-position model. The record is from RNAcentral.
GACGAACCGAGCGAACGUUAUUCGGAAUCACUGGGCUUAAAGGGCGCGUAGGCGGGCCAUCAAGUCAGGGGUGAAAGCCCCCAGCUCAACUGGGGAAGUGCCUUUGAUACUGGUGGUCUCGAGGGGGAUAGGGGCAUGCGGAACUUCCGGUGGAGCGGUGAAAUGCGUAGAUAUCGGAAGGAACACCGGUGGCGAAAGCGGCGUGCUGGAUCCCUUCUGACGCUGAGGCGCGAAAGCUAGGGGAGCAAACGGG